RNAcentral lists this ribosomal RNA (492 nucleotides) under uncultured bacterium. RNAcentral describes it as "partial 16S ribosomal RNA". It matches the Rfam family "Bacterial small subunit ribosomal RNA", at positions 29 to 507 of the family's 1533-position model. The record is from RNAcentral.
AGUGAACGCUGGCGGUAGGCCUAACACAUGCAAGUCGAACGGCAGCACAGUAAGAGCUUGCGCUUACGGGUGGCGAGUGGCGGACGGGUGCGGAAUACAUCGGAAUCUACUUUUUCGUGGGGGAUAACGUAGGGAAACUUACGCUAAUACCGCAUACGACCUACGGGUGAACGCAGGGGAUCUUCGGACCUUGCGCGAUUGAAUGAGCCGAUGUCGGAUUAGCUAGUUGGCGGGGUAAAGGCCCACCAAGGCGACGAUCCGUAGCUGGUCUGAGAGGAUGAUCAGCCACACUGGAACUGAGACACGGUCCAGACUCCUACGGGAGGCAGCAGUGGGGAAUAUUGGACAAUGGGCGCAAGCCUGAUCCAGCCAUACCGCGUGGAGGAAGAAGGCCUUCGGGUUGUAAAGCCCUUUUGUUGGGAAAGAAAAGCAGCAGGUUAAUACCCCGCUGUUCUGACGGUACCCAAAGAAUAAGCACCGGCUAACUUCGUG